RNAcentral lists this ribosomal RNA (475 nucleotides) under uncultured bacterium. Its description in RNAcentral is "partial 16S ribosomal RNA". It matches the Rfam family "Bacterial small subunit ribosomal RNA", at positions 28 to 523 of the family's 1533-position model. The record is from RNAcentral.
GAUGAACGCUGGCGGCGUGCUUAACACAUGCAAGUCGAGCGAGUGAGUUCUUCGGAACGAUCUAGCGGCGGACGGGUGAGUAACACGUGGGCAACCUGCCUCAUAGAGGGGAAUAGCCUCCCGAAAGGGAGAUUAAUACCGCAUAAAAUUAUCGAGUGGCAUCACAUGAUAAUCAAAGGAGUAAUCCGCUAUGAGAUGGGCCCGCGGCGCAUUAGCAAGUUGGUGAGGUAACGGCCCACCAAGGCGACGGUGCGUAGCCGACCUGAGAGGGUGAUCGGCCACAUUGGGACUGGGAACCGGCCCAGACUCCUACGGGGGGAAGCAGUGGGGAAUAUUGAACAAUGGGGAAACCCUGAUGCAGCAACGCCGCGUGAGUGAUGAGGGUCUUCGGAUUGUAAAGCUCUGUCUUUGGGGACGAUAAUGACGGUACCCAAGGAGGAAGCCACGGCUAACUACGUGCCAGCCGCCGCCGUAA